CAAGAAAUAGUUUAAUUAAGAAUGCUAGCUUUGGGGGUUAGCGGUGGAGGUUGAAAUCCUUCUUUUUUGA
RNAcentral lists this transfer RNA (70 nucleotides) under Auriglobus modestus (bronze puffer). RNAcentral describes it as "tRNA-Pro". It matches the Rfam family "tRNA". Rfam says of the family: Transfer RNA (tRNA) molecules are approximately 80 nucleotides in length. Their secondary structure includes four short double-helical elements and three loops (D, anti-codon, and T loops). Further hydrogen bonds mediate the characteristic L-shaped molecular structure. tRNAs have two regions of fundamental functional importance: the anti-codon, which is responsible for specific mRNA codon recognition, and the 3' end, to which the tRNAs corresponding amino acid is attached (by aminoacyl-tRNA synthetases). tRNAs cope with the degeneracy of the genetic code in two manners: having more than one tRNA (with a specific anti-codon) for a particular amino acid; and 'wobble' base-pairing, i.e. permitting non-standard base-pairing at the 3rd anti-codon position. Lineage: Eukaryota; Metazoa; Chordata; Actinopteri; Tetraodontiformes; Tetraodontidae. The record is from RNAcentral.